Molecule: long non-coding RNA, 1306 nt
Organism: Aedes aegypti (yellow fever mosquito)
Lineage: Eukaryota; Metazoa; Arthropoda; Insecta; Diptera; Culicidae
Exons: 3
Source: RefSeq, a predicted model, not a curated record
CAUCUAUUUGCUCAGAAACAACAAGUUACACACUUAAUUACCAGUGGGUUUUAGAACGUUUUCAUAAAUUGUGCGAACAUUACACUGAAAUAAAUCGAACCGAAUAUUUUAUUAGAAAUUCCAUAUCCAUUCAACUGUAUCUAUGUUGCAUAAAAUUCAUAUGGAUUCAUAUCCGUGUCAUCUGUCAAACAUUUCUGAUUCAACAGUGGCUUAGUGAAUAUUAUCGUCACUGGCUAACAUUGUUGUUAUAUGCAUUGAACAUAUAACCGGUACAUGUUUCGUACAUAGUUUCGACGGAUUCAAUGGCAUUGCGAUUGGCAUAUGCGUAUUCUUCAUAUCACCAGUAUGAUUUUAUUCAGUCGUCGCAACAGAUGGAGAAUAGCUUACGAACAGGCAAGAUUACUGAAGAAUCAGGAAGUUCUCUCUUUGCCUUUUGAAAAUAAUAAAUGCAUGUUCGACCCAAGCGCUCGUUCAGAAGCUGUAUCCUGAAAAUUGUUAGGAUCAAACCUGAACGAUAAAGAUCUUAUUGGCAAUGUAAAGAGAAUGCUGAACAUUCAUGAACACCCCACAAGACCCCACAAGAAUGGCUAAGUAUUGGGCAACAUACUGGAAUCUAUCAUAUGUGGACAGGAAAGGAAAUUAGCAUUGUAAGUUAUUAAUAGCAGAUACCAUGUAGAUGAAACAGUAAAAACAAUAGAAUAAUGAAAACAAUUUUCGUAAUUUGUUAGUUUGAUAGUAUCACUCACCGUAUCAACUAUUAAUUAUAUUAAUGAAAAGUACGUUAGUUGCACUUAGAAGAUACAAUUUUUACGAAUGGAUCUUCUGUUUGGCUGCAAUAGCAUGUAUUUGGAAUGCAAAUGAUGUUUACAUACUCUCUUGGUCCGUACUUGGUAUAUUUUUUGCAUAUAACAUGGACAUGGAUGUAGAAAAGGUUUCUUAUAUGUCACGCAUAUACCUUCGAACAUACUUUUCCAUACUAUGGUGACUUUCAUAAGAAAUUCUAAUAGUGCAGAAUUAUAUGACUACCAUAUACCCUUUAACAAGAGAGUUGGCUCAGUGUAGACGUUCUGCGAGAAAGCGAAUAACAUGUGAGUGAUCCUAAUAUUUGAAAUUAAGGUAAUUAAACGUUUGAAGUCUGAGUUUGGGUAAGUAUUGGAUAAGAAACUGACAAAAUUUCAAGCCAGUAUGUAUUGUUCCUCAACCUCUUGAACUAGAGCAAACUUAAUCUAUGCAAGCUUCUAAUCCAUUUUCAUUUCAAUUGCUGAUCUAACGCAAAGCUAAAAUGCGUAGAUGGCUCUCUUCUAGA